CAGCCGCCGCGGUAAUACGUAGGGUGCGAGCGUUAAUCGGAUUUACUGGGCGUAAAGCGUGCGCAGGCGGCCCGUUAAGACAGGUGUGAAAUCCCUGGGCUCAACCUAGGAAUUGCGCUUGUGACUGGCGGGCUCGAGUACGGUAGAGGGGGGUGGAAUUCCUGGUGUAGCAGUGAAAUGCGUAGAGAUCAGGAGGAACACCGAUGGCGACGGCAGCCCCCUGGGCCUGUACUGACGCUCAUGCACGAAAGCGUGGGGAGCAAACAGGAUUAGAUACCCUGGUAGUCCACGCCCUAAACGAUGGGUACUAGCCGUUUGGUGCGCGAUAGCGCUGAGUGGCGAAGCUAACGCGUGAAGUACCCCGCCUGGGGAGUACGGCCGCAAGGUUGAAACUUAAAGGAAUUGGCGGG
Molecule: ribosomal RNA, 410 nt
Filed under: uncultured microorganism
Description: bacterial SSU rRNA
Rfam family: Bacterial small subunit ribosomal RNA
Source: RNAcentral